UCGAAGCCUCGAAAGCACGACCGUGAAUGAGUUUACAAUCGUGGGAGCCCUGCAUGGCCCUUGGGCCGCCUGGUGCUACCUCGCUCGGCUGGCGAGGAGACUUGCGCUCUUCGCCUUUCGAAACUAACGAACCCCGGCGUGGAUAGCGCCAAGGAACCAAAAUGAGAAGUGCUUGACCCUCCAACCUGUUAAUCGGAUAGCAGGGACUUGCCUAUUCACUAAUUCACAACGACUCUCGGCAACGGAUAUCUCGGCUCUCGCAUCGAUGAAGAACGUAGCAAAAUGCGAUACUUGGUGUGAAUUGCAGAAUCCCGUGAAUCAUCGAGUCUUUGAACGCAAGUUGCGCCCGAAGCCUUUAGGCYGAGGGCACGUCUGCCUGGGCGUCAUGCACCGCGAUGCCCUCAUGCAAACAUGCUGGGCGAAUCUUGGCCCCCCGUGAACCCAACUCGCGGUUGGCUUAAAAGAGAGCCUCGAGACGGAAGAACGUCGCGACAAGUGGUGGUUAUGAGGCAUUCGGCCCCGAAACUUAGCACGUCGCGGGGUCUCCCCUCCCUUGCUCAGAAAAGACCUUAGCGGAGCGCUUUUGCGCAGCCAGCAUA
RNAcentral lists this unclassified non-coding RNA (599 nucleotides) under Sedum cockerellii. RNAcentral's name for it is "sequence contains ITS1, 5.8S rRNA gene and ITS2". The stretch from base 231 to 386 matches the Rfam family "5.8S ribosomal RNA". Lineage: Eukaryota; Viridiplantae; Streptophyta; Magnoliopsida; Saxifragales; Crassulaceae. The record is from RNAcentral.